UCUCCGUUGGUGAACCAGCGGAGGGAUCAUUACAGGACUCGCAAGACUCCUACAACCCUGUGAACUUCACUACAAGCACGUUGCUUCGGCGGGUGUCUCGGCGGAGGUCCCUUCCGGGGGACCUGCGCAGGGGCGCGAAGCCCGCCGGCAGCCUACUAUACUCUGUCUCUUUGCGUUGGCAUCUCGAGAAAAAGCAAACAAGUUAAAACUUUCAACAACGGAUCUCUUGGUUCUG
This 235-nucleotide unclassified non-coding RNA is filed under the name soil metagenome. RNAcentral describes it as "partial contains small subunit ribosomal RNA, internal transcribed spacer 1, and 5.8S ribosomal RNA". The record is from RNAcentral.